UCUCCUGGCCUUUUUUUUUUUUUUUUUUUUUUUUUUCAGAGGAGAAGAUGAAAGGAACCUGAAAAAAUUAAAAUCAAGAUAAGGUCCCUCCCUGGCAGGAUUAUGAGGAUGUGGUCAUUUAAGAGGGCCUUUCCCUCUUUUGGGCUCUUGACAUCUGAAGUCAUGGAAGAUGCUAUCACAGCUCCUUUUAUGAAGGUGGCUCGGGUCCCCGAUUGCCAAGAGCCAGGCACAUUGAAGUUCUAUGACAGGAAAAUGGCACCAGAAGGAGAGAAAGGGAGCUGAGGUUUUGGCACCCCGAAGUUCUGGCCGCAGCCCAAGUUCCUGCAGGGAGAAACCGAGGGCUAAUUGAGGCAGUGACUUGGCCAAGAUCACCCAGCAAGAACUUGAGCCCGAAGCUCUAGACUUGCUGAGGGCAAUGUGCUUUCUGCGUCAGGUACUGGGACUAGGGAGGGAGUGGGGAGGGAUAUUCCAGGCUAAAGCCUGAACAAGAAGAAAAGGUUGCUUAUUUUUAACUCUCUGCAGAGGGCAAGGGGUUAGCCAUUUUUUCCAGUAUGACUUAACCCCUCGAGAGAGGGCCCUUCAAGGCUGUGUGGUAAAUGGAGCAGAACAUAUAUAAUGAGCUCAGGGGAAUGACCUUUCUGCUCUUGGACACAGUUGAGAUGAUUGUGGGUGGGGUGUUGCAGCUAGGUUAGCCAAAGUGCCCUGGGUGUCCUUUCUUCUCCAACCUCAAGGGGAAAUCACAUUUAACUCUUUUUUUUUUUUAAAUAAAUUGGGGCAUAUCCUCCCUGUAGGAUUAGAAAUUAUAGGAGCUAAGAAUAGGUACAAUGUAAAGAACACUCAGUUUAGUAAUGGAAGAUCUAAGAUUGCAUCCCAGCUCUUACUAUCUAUAGGAACUUGGGCAAGUCACUUAACUCGUCUCAGAUUCAGUUUCCCCAUCUGCAAAAUGGGCAUUAAAAAAGCAGCAUCUCUCUCCAAAGGGUGUUUCGAGGAUCAUGAGAUGACUUGUGUGAAGAGCAUUGAAACCUUAAAGUUUCCUCGAUAUCUGCUAUUAUAAUUAUUCCUUUGGAGUCUCAGUUUUCUUCUCUAUAAAACGAAGAGAAGGAGCUUAGAUGAAUUCUAGAGAUCUCUAGCUCUGACUUCCUAGGUUCUAAGAUGUUUCCUAACUUUCUACGCUUUAUUCCCUGGGACUCAUUUUCCUCAACUGAAAAGUAAAGGGCUUAAAUCACAUGAUCUUCAAGGCUGCUUCCAAUAAAGUCCUAAGACACACACAUUUAUAGCCUUAGUUUCCUUUUUUGUACACUGAGGGAUCACCAUUCUGGUCCCAAAUCUUGUGACCUGGAGGGGAGGGUGGGGAGAGACUACCACAGUGACUGCAGGUCCACCCCCCUGUUCCAACCUCCUCUGAAAUGUUGGCUGUUGCUAAGCUCCCAAGGCCUCUGCCAUUUGUUCCCAUCAUCAAGGGAAACCGAGUUAGAAAAGAUGGUGAUUGUAGCUGCAGAGGCAAGUGUCCCUCUAAGUGGCUCACCCUUCUGUUCUGACAAUGGAAUGAUCCAUGCUGAAGGGAUCCCCAAGUUUGAGCAGAAGGCAAACUUAAGUCUCCUUAACUCCAAGCCCAGCCCCUUCCACUAGGUCCAUUAGAGUGGAUUGUUUCUCACUGGGGCAUCUAUCUAACGAUGGUCCUCGCCAGCACAUCCUCUUUGUUCAAUCCCACCCACCGUUAUGGGCCAAGAGGAUCCGAGUUCCAAAUCUAGCGAUAACAUUUACUGCCAGGGUAACCUCAGAUAAGUCAACCUCCCUGGGCCCAUUUUCUUCACUUGUAUGGUGAGGUAGGUGCAGUAGAUAAUCUCAGGAUGCCUUCUGUUUCUAGAUGGAGAACCCUGGGAUGCCUCUACUUAGCACAGGACAGGACUCGUAUCUGUCCCAGACGAGGCAGCCGAGAUAAUUCCCACAAGUGGAGAUAAGUGAAAGUAACCAGCACUGACCCCAAAGCAGGAAUCAAGAUGAGGAAACUGAGGCAGGAAGUGUCUUGCCCAGGGUCACAAGGCUGGUCUCUAAGGCAGGCUGGGAGUCCCCCACUCUCUGUGUACACCGGUGCCUUGGGAGCGAAGCCCGUCUCUACUUCUCCCUCCCUCCUUUGAGAAAUCUUCCCCGACGGGGUCGGCUUCCCCGGGCUUGGUAAAGAGCCGGUCCCAACUUUCUCACGAGAACCCGAUGUGAGCCCGGGCUGGGCUCCUCUCGGCCCCGGAGCCCAUGCGGCUUAGGAACUCAGUGUGUGAAAAUUUAUAAAUAGCCCUUUGUUUCCCUCAAUCAAUAUUAUUCUCCUGUUUCCUGUUCCCUGUCCAUGCAGCAGAGAGGUGGGAAGCGUCAUCGCUGACACGCACUGGCUCGGUCUGGGGCGCGGAGCUCGCUGAGCCACAGCCUCCCCCGGUGCCCACGGGGGCCGGGCCCACGGGGGUGGGCACCCGCGGCUCCCCCCACCCUGCUUCCCCUCUCCGGCCCUUCUUCCAGGGCAGGGCUGGCUGGCGGGGCCUCUGCCUCUCCUCCCCCACCUUAGUUCAGAUAAGUCACAGGAAAGUGGAAUGGACCGUUAACUACUUCCCCUUACGCCUCCUUGCCAAUUGGCACGGGUUCCGUGUGUGUCUAUGCCGAGAUCGGGCUGGGAAAGCAGGAUGUUUCGGGGGAGCGGAGAUCUCAGCUAGCGAAGGGCAGCCCGGCAAGGAACCGGAAAACUCUGCCCUUCUCAACAGUCAUAAAAUUAGCCCGCUCCGACAAAAGCACUGGGAAAAGGUCGCUUUGGAAACCGGGGUCUACAGAUGCCGGGUCUGACUCUGCGGGAGCCGGAUUCAAACCCUGCUCUGGCACGUUAGUGAGGGGCCUAAGCUUCCUUGGGCUCAGUUUCCUCGUUUGUAAAAUGGCUAAAUGGAGAUGAGCACUGGGUUCCUUGUGGCUCUAGUUACAAUCGGACAGUCAACAGAAGGAGACAAGGGAAGAGGGCAGUUGUCCAGAGAGUGAAAGGGUGUGUGUGUGUGAGUAUGUGUGUGUGAGAGUGUGAGUGUGUGAGUGUGAGUGUGAGUGUGAGUGUGUAUGUGUGUGUAUAUAUGUGUGAGUGUGUGUGUAAGGAAGGGAGGAAUCAUAAACAGAGUUCUAAAACAAGAUUCAGGGUGGACUUCUCAGCUUUUCAGGACAAGACGUCCUGCACAAUGAAGCAGGGAGCGUUUCCGCUGUGCUGCCUGGCCCUGUUAUUAGAAUGGAAGCUCCUGGAGGGCAGGAGUGGCUUCCUUUUUUGCUUCCCUACGUGGUCAAUGUUUGUUAAUCUGACAUCCACGUCUUCCUCUGUUAAAGGAUGAUAUUAGGUCGGCCCGGGGGAAAGAGCGUUGAACACAAAUAACAACAGCGACAAUGGCUCAUAUAUAGUGCUUACUCUGAGCCAGGCACUGCGCCGAGCACUUUAGAAAUAUCUCAUUUGCCUCACGAUAAUUCUAGGAGGUAGGGACUAUUACUAUCCACCCCUCACUUUUUUUUUUUUUUUUUUUGGCUGAGGCAAUUGGGGUUAAGUGACUUACCCAGGGUCACACAGCUAGGAAGUAUCAAGUGUCUGAGGCUGGAUUUGAACUCAAGUCUACUGAGCCCUACUAUCCCCAUUUUACAGGUGAGGAAACUGAGGCAGUAAAAUGUGAAAUGACUUGUCCAGAGUCACACAGUCAGUGCCUGAAGCUGGAUUUGAACAUGCUACCCACCGCCCCACCUAACCAGUCCCUUUACGCAUCUAGAUCUCAGUUUUCCUCUCUCAAAAAUGAGGUUGAACUAGAUGGGUUUUCAGAUCACUCCCCGUUAGAAAUCUACGGUCCUACAAAGUGAUCCUUAAAGUGAGAUGGUUUGCUAAGUCUUGAAUGCCUUCUCCUGAAUCCACAAUGAGAGCUUCAGGGGGCACCUGACUAUUUUCCCUGCCGGACUGGGGACUGCUGGGUACAGAGGGCAGUGGCCAAUGGUGUCUCUCCCCUCCCUCCCCUUCUUGUCGCCUUUGGCUCCAAGACUAAUG
Antechinus flavipes (yellow-footed antechinus) is the source of this 4039-nucleotide long non-coding RNA. RefSeq lists it as uncharacterized. The transcript is spliced from 3 exons. The record is from RefSeq and is a predicted model, not a curated record. NCBI's taxonomy places the organism in Eukaryota, Metazoa, Chordata, Mammalia, Dasyuromorphia, Dasyuridae.